Molecule: ribosomal RNA, 411 nt
Filed under: uncultured bacterium
Lineage: Bacteria
Description: bacterial SSU rRNA
Rfam family: Bacterial small subunit ribosomal RNA
Source: RNAcentral
UGGGUGAGUCACGCGUGUCCAACCUCGGCCCCCGCCCGGGGAUAGCCCUUGGAAAUGAGGAUUAAGACCCGAUACGUGCGCAUUCCGCAUGGCGUGCGCAUGAACCAGGCAGGGGAUGGGACGCGUCGGAUUAGCUUGACGGCGGGGCAACGGCCCACCGUGGCGACGAUCCGCAGGGUUCGUGAGAGGAAGGUCCCCACACUGGCACUGAGACACGGGCCAGACUCCUACGGGAGGCAGCAGUGAGGAAUAUUGGUCAAUGGCCGAGAGGCUGAACCAGCCAAGUAGCGUGCAAGGGAUGACGGCCCUACGGGUUGUAAACUGCUUUUGCGGGAGGAUAAAGUGCACUACGUGUAGUGCUUUGCAGGUAUCCCGUGAAUAAGGACCGGCUAAUUCCGUGCCAGCAGCCGC